Molecule: ribosomal RNA, 252 nt
Filed under: uncultured microorganism
Description: partial 16S ribosomal RNA
Rfam family: Bacterial small subunit ribosomal RNA
Source: RNAcentral
UACGUAGGUCCCGAGCGUUGUCCGGAUUUAUUGGGCGUAAAGCGAGCGCAGGUGGUUUAAUAAGUCUGAUGUAAAAGGCAGUGGCUCAACCAUUGUGUGCAUUGGAAACUGUUAGACUUGAGUGCAGUAGAGGAGAGUGGAAUUCCAUGUGUAGCGGUGAAAUGCGUAGAUAUAUGGAGGAACACCGGUGGCGAAAGCGGCUCUCUGGACUGUCACUGACACUGAGGCUCGAAAGCGUGGGUUGCAAACAGG